GGGUUGUGAGGUUAAGCGACUAAGCGUACACGGUGGAUGCCCUGGCAGUCAGAGGCGAUGAAGGACGUGCUAAUCUGCGAUAAGCGUCGGUAAGGUGAUAUGAACCGUUAUAACCGGCGAUUUCCGAAUGGGGAAACCCAGUGUGUUUCGACACACUAUCAUUAACUGAAUCCAUAGGUUAAUGAGGCGAACCGGGGGAACUGAAACAUCUAAGUACCCCGAGGAAAAGAAAUCAACCGAGAUUCCCCCAGUAGCGGCGAGCGAACGGGGAGGAGCCCAGAGCCUGAAUCAGUGUGUGUGUUAGUGGAAGCGUCUGGAAAGGCGCGCGAUACAGGGUGACAGCCCCGUACACAAAAAUGCACAUAUUGUGAGCUCGAUGAGUAGGGCGGGACACGUGGUAUCCUGUCUGAAUAUGGGGGGACCAUCCUCCAAGGCUAAAUACUCCUGACUGACCGAUAGUGAACCAGUACCGUGAGGGAAAGGCGAAAAGAACCCCGGCGAGGGGAGUGAAAAAGAACCUGAAACCGUGUACGUACAAGCAGUGGGAGCCUCUUUUAUGGGGUGACUGCGUACCUUUUGUAUAAUGGGUCAGCGACUUAUAUUCUGUAGCAAGGUUAACCGAAUAGGGGAGCCGAAGGGAAACCGAGUCUUAACUGGGCGUUAAGUUGCAGGGUAUAGACCCGAAACCCGGUGAUCUAGCCAUGGGCAGGUUGAAGGUUGGGUAACACUAACUGGAGGACCGAACCGACUAAUGUUGAAAAAUUAGCGGAUGACUUGUGGCUGGGGGUGAAAGGCCAAUCAAACCGGGAGAUAGCUGGUUCUCCCCGAAAGCUAUUUAGGUAGCGCCUCGUGAACUCAUCUCCGGGGGUAGAGCACUGUUUCGGCAAGGGGGUCAUCCCGACUUACCAACCCGAUGCAAACUGCGAAUACCGGAGAAUGUUAUCACGGGAGACACACGGCGGGUGCUAACGUCCGUCGUGAAGAGGGAAACAACCCAGACCGCCAGCUAAGGUCCCAAAGUCAUGGUUAAGUGGGAAACGAUGUGGGAAGGCCCAGACAGCCAGGAUGUUGGCUUAGAAGCAGCCAUCAUUUAAAGAAAGCGUAAUAGCUCACUGGUCGAGUCGGCCUGCGCGGAAGAUGUAACGGGGCUAAACCAUGCACCGAAGCUGCGGCAGCGACACUAUGUGUUGUUGGGUAGGGGAGCGUUCUGUAAGCCUGUGAAGGUGUGCUGUGAGGCAUGCUGGAGGUAUCAGAAGUGCGAAUGCUGACAUAAGUAACGAUAAAGCGGGUGAAAAGCCCGCUCGCCGGAAGACCAAGGGUUCCUGUCCAACGUUAAUCGGGGCAGGGUGAGUCGACCCCUAAGGCGAGGCCGAAAGGCGUAGUCGAUGGGAAACAGGUUAAUAUUCCUGUACUUGGUGUUACUGCGAAGGGGGGACGGAGAAGGCUAUGUUGGCCGGGCGACGGUUGUCCCGGUUUAAGCGUGUAGGCUGGUUUUCCAGGCAAAUCCGGAAAAUCAAGGCUGAGGCGUGAUGACGAGGCACUACGGUGCUGAAGCAACAAAUGCCCUGCUUCCAGGAAAAGCCUCUAAGCAUCAGGUAACAUCAAAUCGUACCCCAAACCGACACAGGUGGUCAGGUAGAGAAUACCAAGGCGCUUGAGAGAACUCGGGUGAAGGAACUAGGCAAAAUGGUGCCGUAACUUCGGGAGAAGGCACGCUGAUAUGUAGGUGAAGUCCCUCGCGGAUGGAGCUGAAAUCAGUCGAAGAUACCAGCUGGCUGCAACUGUUUAUUAAAAACACAGCACUGUGCAAACACGAAAGUGGACGUAUACGGUGUGACGCCUGCCCGGUGCCGGAAGGUUAAUUGAUGGGGUCAGCGCAAGCGAAGCUCUUGAUCGAAGCCCCGGUAAACGGCGGCCGUAACUAUAACGGUCCUAAGGUAGCGAAAUUCCUUGUCGGGUAAGUUCCGACCUGCACGAAUGGCGUAAUGAUGGCCAGGCUGUCUCCACCCGAGACUCAGUGAAAUUGAACUCGCUGUGAAGAUGCAGUGUACCCGCGGCAAGACGGAAAGACCCCGUGAACCUUUACUAUAGCUUGACACUGAACAUUGAGCCUUGAUGUGUAGGAUAGGUGGGAGGCUUAGAAGUGUGGACGCCAGUCUGCAUGGAGCCGACCUUGAAAUACCACCCUUUAAUGUUUGAUGUUCUAACGUUGACCCGUGAUCCGGGUUGCGGACAGUGUCUGGUGGGUAGUUUGACUGGGGCGGUCUCCUCCUAAAGAGUAACGGAGGAGCACGAAGGUUGGCUAAUCCUGGUCGGACAUCAGGAGGUUAGUGCAAUGGCAUAAGCCAGCUUGACUGCGAGCGUGACGGCGCGAGCAGGUGCGAAAGCAGGUCAUAGUGAUCCGGUGGUUCUGAAUGGAAGGGCCAUCGCUCAACGGAUAAAAGGUACUCCGGGGAUAACAGGCUGAUACCGCCCAAGAGUUCAUAUCGACGGCGGUGUUUGGCACCUCGAUGUCGGCUCAUCACAUCCUGGGGCUGAAGUAGGUCCCAAGGGUAUGGCUGUUCGCCAUUUAAAGUGGUACGCGAGCUGGGUUUAGAACGUCGUGAGACAGUUCGGUCCCUAUCUGCCGUGGGCGCUGGAGAACUGAGGGGGGCUGCUCCUAGUACGAGAGGACCGGAGUGGACGCAUCACUGGUGUUCGGGUUGUCAUGCCAAUGGCACUGCCCGGUAGCUAAAUGCGGAAGAGAUAAGUGCUGAAAGCAUCUAAGCACGAAACUUGCCCCGAGAUGAGUUCUCCCUGACCCUUUAAGGGUCCUGAAGGAACGUUGAAGACGACGACGUUGAUAGGCCGGGUGUGUAAGCGCAGCGAUGCGUUGAGCUAACCGGUACUAAUGAACCGUGAGGCUUAACCUUACAACGCCGAAGCUGUU
Molecule: ribosomal RNA, 2929 nt
Filed under: Escherichia coli
Lineage: Bacteria; Pseudomonadati; Pseudomonadota; Gammaproteobacteria; Enterobacterales; Enterobacteriaceae
Description: 23S ribosomal RNA
Rfam family: Bacterial large subunit ribosomal RNA
Source: RNAcentral